AUGGGAUGCGUGGUACUCCCCCGGGACAAGCUCCGACAGGAAUUCUGGUGGCAGGAAGGACAGCAGCACCCACCACAGGGAUCAAGAGAGGCCUCCAAAAACAACAGAUUCUCCAAAGAAGAAAUCAAAGAGACGGAAGGCAGGAAGUGGCCCUUAUCCUGUGAUCUCACGGCAUCCCACUUGGAGCUCGGUGCCCCAAAGGGAGACCUCUUCUCUGAAGUGAUAAGAUGAGAUGCUUUCUGUGAGAUCUGAGAGGCCGUUGGGGCUUAGGGCAGUCUUGUCAGCAGGAUGCUGGCUGCUUGAUCAGGGGCUUAAAUCAUAAUCUCCAGGAGACUCCUGUGGCUAAAACUCUCAAGAGCUGACAUGAGGGCCAAACAAUUGAGGAAUUCAUGCCCCAGAUUGGAGGGAAAUGAGCUGAUGCCUGGAAGAUUCUGGGGCCAGUUCACUUACAGCGUCAUGAGAGACUUCGACACCAGAUUAGAUAUCCUUCCUGCCCUGUAAGUUAUGUUCUGGGUUUUCUGUGAGAACACAGACCUCCUUAUCAGGAAAGAGGGAUGCAGGAGCACCAGUCCCUCAGAGAAAAGAGAGCCCAGGAAAAUACAUCAGGAUUAGAACAGCAGGACAAGCAUCGUGGUGAAAACAGGAGCAGAGGAGGUUAAUUUCAUCUGGGCAGGGUGCUUAAUAGGCACAUAGGGAGCACGUGCUGGGUGGUUGUUCAGUCUCUCAGUUGUGUCUGACUCUCUGAGACCCCAUGGACUGCAGCAUCCAGGCUCCCCUGCCUUUCACUAUCUCCUGGAGUUUGCUCAAACUCAUGUCCGUUGAGUCAAUGAUAACAUCUAACCAUCUCAUCUUCUGUCGCCCCCUUCUCCUUCUGCCCUCGAUCUUUCCCAGCAUCAGGGUUUUUUCCAAUGAGUCAGCUCUUUGAAUCAGGUAGCUAAAGUAUUGGAGCUUCAGCUUUAGCAUCAGUCCUUCCAAUGAAUAUUCAGGGUUGUUUUCCUUUAGGAUUGACUGGUUUGAUCUCCUUGCUGUCCAAGGAACUCUCAAGAAUCUUCUACAACACCACAGUUCAAAAGUAUUCUUGGUGGAGGAGACAGCAUUUCUAAAAACCCUGCAAUGAGAUACUGCCUCACACCCCGUAGGAUGCCUGUUGUCAAAAAGUAGCUGGUGGGGAUGUGGAAAAAUUGGAACCCUUGUACACUGUUAGUGGGAAUGUAAAAUGGUGCAGCUGCUAUGGAAAACAGUAUGGAGGUUCUUCAAAAAAAAUUAAAACUAGAACUACCAUGUGAUACAACAGUACCACUUCUGGGUAUAUACCUGAAAGAAUUAAAAGGAGGAACCAAAUGGAUAUUUGUACAUCUUGUUAGUAGUAGCUUUAUUCAUAAUAGUUGAAAGGUGGAAACAACCUAAGCACCCACUGAUGGAUGAAUGGAUAAACCAAUGUGAUCUAGUCAUACAAUAAAAUUUCAUCCAUUCCCCCA
Molecule: long non-coding RNA, 1478 nt
Organism: Bos indicus x Bos taurus (hybrid cattle)
Lineage: Eukaryota; Metazoa; Chordata; Mammalia; Artiodactyla; Bovidae
Source: Ensembl